CUACGGGGGGCACCAGUGGGGAAUAUUGGACAAUGGGGGAAACCCUGAUCCAGCAAUGCCGCGUGUGUGAAGAAGGCCUGCGGGUUGUAAAGCACUUUCGGUUGGGAGGACUGCUUCUAGCACUAAUAUUGUUGGAAGUUGACGUUACCUUCAGAAGAAGCACCGGCUAACUCCGUGCCAGCAGCCGCGGGUAAUACGGAGGGUGCAAGCGUUAAUCGGAAUUACUGGGCGUAAAGCGCGCGUAGGCGGCUAGAUCAGUCGGGUGUGAAAGCCCCGGGCUUAACCUGGGAACUGCAUCCGAAACUGUCUAGCUUGAGUACAGGAGAGGAGAGUGGAAUUCCACAUGUAGCGGUGAAAUGCGUAGAUAUGUGGAGGAACACCAAUGGCGAAGGCAGCUCUCUGGCCUGAUACUGACGCUGAGGUGCGAAAGCGUGGGGAGCAAACAGGAUUAGAUACCCCAGUAGUC
Molecule: ribosomal RNA, 466 nt
Filed under: uncultured bacterium
Lineage: Bacteria
Description: partial 16S ribosomal RNA
Rfam family: Bacterial small subunit ribosomal RNA
Source: RNAcentral